UUAUUACUAAUCGGUUAAAAACAUGUUCCCUAGUCUCUCUCUUGCUUGAAUGCAUUCAAGAACAUUCUCAUUGUUGAAGUCCACUUCAACUUGUUCCGCAGCGCUACCCUAAGCAUUGGGAUUAGGGCUUCUAAGUUGUAACUAUAAUAGAAAUCACGAGCUACGUUAAUCCCAACGUCUCUGCACUCUGCGAGAUUCUCAGUGAUUCCUCGUCAACACAAUCUCUGAAUUCGAUCACAAACCGUGGAGUACCUUCGUUUCUUCUACUUGGAGGAAUCAGCAAUCGGUUUUCCGUCACUCUCCUCGCAUCCGUUAAAUUAGAGGUGAGCCACUACACCGUAACCGUUUUUUUUUUUUUUUCUGGAUUUGAUCGAUUUGCAUUACUUCAAUUUCAAUGCAAUGCCGUGACGAGGUUCUUAUGAGUCACCAGAUGUAUAUCUCAAUUCUUGUUCGAACUGCAAUUACAUUUACCUGCUUCAUUGUUGCCAGAUCAUACAAAAUUUUUACUUAGAUUAAUUCGGUUAGUUUAUAUUUAGAUCUAAAUCUCGUCACCGCGGCAUUAUUCCGUCAGUAAGAGACUCACAAUUUUUUACUAAUCUUUCAAUACUCCCUCGCCACCGUGAAGAGCUUGUUCUACAUCCUUGAUUGUGUAGACAUUUAAUAUUUUUGCUAUUAUUUUAUUUGCUUGAUAAGGAUAGUAGUUUGUUCUAUUUUGUCACACAUGAUGAUGGUUAAGUUGAAAAUCGCUCUGCCAAGAGUUGCUUUGCAGGCAUACAUGGAAAAGCCGUGCUUAGCUGAUUGUUUUAUGAUUUCUUAUUGCUUUUUAAGGAUGCUUCCUCUGAACACUACUUGCUCUUUGAUUGCAUAUCGUAUACCUUAAUCUAAAUUAUUAGUUAUUUAGCUUCAUUGCAUCAAUUCUACUUUACCCAUCCAAUCCUGAAAGUAAUGAGAAACGAAAUCUGGAAAUGUGAUUACAACAGAAAGUGGAACUACAUCACUGCAUAUGGCAUAAUUUCAUGUUUUCAUUCUGUUUAUAAGGUUUUAGGGAAAUUGUCUUGGCUAUUGGUACAAGGGAAAUAAAUUACAUUAAGUACAAUAAUAUGUCUUUUCUAACCCAUUUCAUGUCAUUUAUGUCUCUACUUGUAUGAAAGGACUAAACGUGAGACUUUCUCUAUCCAUAAUGAAGCACCCAAAAGUUGAACCCAACAUUAUGCCAUUUAAAUCUAAAAAACAGUGAUGAUAUCUUUUUUGGAAUGACUGCUGUAGAACCUAAUUGCAUUUAGCAAUAUAAUUUAUGUUUAAUGGCUUAUUCGGUUCUUAUAACUAAAAGCCCUUGUUCUUUUAAUUUCUAUUUUAAAACAUCAUAUUUUAAAUCCUAGACAACCGUUUUUAAUCCCUUCAAUGAGAAUUAAAAGUGAUUGAAGAUUAUAUGUGUAGGCACUAGAAGGAAAUAUUUAUAGGUAAUAGGGACUAAAAUGAGUGUUUUUAACUAUAGGAACCAAAUGAAAAAUUAAACUUGUAAUUUAUAUGGCUGUUUUAAGGAAAGUUGUUAUGAUAAUACUGUCGAUGUCGAUACUUCCAUGUUUUGAACCUACGGUCUUUCCGUUUAUGUUAGUGGAAGGGAGAGCUAUUUGCUUCCAGUUCACAAUGGCCGAUUUCCUUUUCUCUUUUAGUCAAACAUUUGCCCACAUAUGUGUUAUAUCUACAAGGUCUACAGAAAUAUAAAAUGACUAGAUAGUUCUCCUUGACGCUGAGAUUGAUAAUAAUAGAGAUUUGGGUAUUAUAGAGUGCUUAAGUUUCGUAUCAAGUAGAUGGAGUAGUUAAAUGGUUUGAUUCUCCUCCUUUAGCGGGUAGGUUUUAAGGGAGGGUUUUGCUUGUCUUUCAGAUGCUUAUACCAUUUCUUUGUAUUAGCUUCAUGGCUUGGUAUUCCUUAUUAGGAUGUAUAGGUGCUUAAUUUUUUUGGACAAUGUAUGUUUAAACUUUGCCUUGAAUUUAAAAUAUUUAGACUACUGUAGGCUACCCUUUUCACUAUUGUGUAUAUCAGUGCAGCCAAUAAAUGGCCUACUUUGUUUGAAAAGAGAGCAUGCAUUUCUCUUUACGGUUUUCCUCGUUAGUUUUUUUGUAUGGAUCAGUCAGUUUCUUCUGUUGAUUUGCCAUGUCGUAAGAUAAAUUCUUAUAAGCCUUGUGGGUUGUCAUCUUCAGGCCAAUUCUCCCCCUUUCAGUCUAACAUUAAGUACAAACUGAUGGCAAAGCUAAACUCACCUCAGAAGCCGCAUAUUAUUUCACAAAUCUUGUCAGCUAUUGCAUUUAUGAUUGACUUAAAUGUAACAUCUCUUUCAAUGGAUUAAGUUCACUAAUAAGAAUCUUGAAACUGGAAGCUAGUUUAACAUUUCUCUGAAUUGUUGAAUGUUUGAUUUAUUACUUGCUGAACCUAACCACUGUUAUGCACUUGUUCCAGCCAGAGAGAAGCUGUUAAAGUUUUCAUAUGGAAAGCCACUCCGUCAUCAUAAAAUCCAAGGGAUAGAAAUCUCUUUUGUGCGCCAUCAAUUAAAAAAAUUCCCAUCUUAUAUUCAAUUCAAGUAAGUAGGCAACGUAAUUCCUAAGUUUGUGUAAUAUUUGAACUUGAAAUGCCACUAAAGAACCAUAUUAAAAACGAUUUUUUUAGAAGAUAACCCUAUAGACUAAUCUUAUUUGUUAUAUUUUUCAUUUUUUCCUUAGGGAUGACGUAAAUGAUUGCAAGAUAAUAAAAUAAACAUAAAACAAAGUUGUCAUUGUCGAUUCAUAUACGUUGAACUCGAUAAAGCCAAGCUGGACUGACUGCAGGGCAGGGCCUAAGCUCUCAAAAAAAAGAGGCUACAAAACAUUGGACUGGCCCCAUUCACAUAAAAUCCUAGCUGAAGACAACUAAAAACUAUACAGAUACAUAUACAAAAGCUAUACACUCAACGUACACCAAAAUUCACAGUUAUGUUACAUGAAACUGUUGGACAUUCCCUUCCUACUGCCUCAUCUCUGCAAGAUGAGUUGAAUUUACAGGUCGCGUUAGGUUCCUCACCAGAUGCUGGCGAAUUUUUAGUUUCCUCACGGUACAAGCUGACACAUCUCAUGCAUACAAACUUAGAAGGCAUGCCAUCAGAAUUAUCAAUUCCAGCGCAUCUGGUAUGCUGCCAAACGCCACAUGUAUCACAUGCUAACAUUUUCUCUCCAUCAUCAUCCUUAGCCCCACAGGUGCAAUCAACCUUCCACGCCUCAGUUCCUCGUUCCAUUCGGAAUCUGCUUAGCCCAUGUUUGGCUGGGCAUUUACCUUGAAUUCGGACUGAUCCACUUGUUCCGAGCAAUAACUUUACGGUGAGCGAAUCACUGAUUGACCCAUAUCCCAGGAGUUCUUCAGCUUGAAACCUCUUAUACAUUGCAUACACCUCUUGAAAAGCACUAGUGGCUUCGCUCUUGAGCUCAGCAACGGUGGCAUUCAAAGGCAACACAAUAAGCUCUGGCGGUGGGCAUGGAUCUUCCUUAGGCUGAUCAGAAAGCUCCACAUGGCACCACAACCUAAUCACAGAAGGCAGUUCUAUGGCCAUUUCAUAUGGCUUGUAAUCCUUCAUAAAUUGUUUACAGUCAAGGAGCUUCCUGGCUGAAUCAGCAACCCUUUUCCUCAUAAUCCUAGGUCUGUAGGACAUCAUUUUCUCAGGAUGUAUUAUCGAAUCAAAUAAAAAUUUCAAGUCAGAGAUCAGUUGCCCUUCUGUAGGAUAGCUUAAAUCUGUACUUAAUCCAUUACUCCUUGGUCCCAACCUGUUAUUAAGUAUAUAUAUAUAUAACACAAGCUUUAGAUACAUUAAUUAAGAUGUAAUUGACAAAAGCCAUGUCAUCUUCAACCUCACCUGAACUCGAUUGCACUGGAAAUUGGAUUACAUCGUGAACAAACCACCAUCCCAUUGGCAGCUAAUUUCCCAGGCAAGUGCUUAAGACAGUAGUCAAGAAGCUCUGGAGAUGAAACACCCCUGCAUACUGCACCCUUGAGAGCACGCCUUGUCACCCAUUUGGACUCAGUACACGCCCCCGAUGCAAGCAACACCUUGACAAGAGCAUGUUGCACCUCUUCAACAUCAUUUCCCGUCCACGUACACAACAGAUUACUGGUCUGCUUAAAACUUGUCGUGGCUAUUGGCUUACGACAUUCAUGAAUCAAUACCAACAAAAAGGAGAACAGAUCUUGAAUGUUCAGAAGUUCUGUUUCUGCCAAAGACUGGUAAAGAGAAAUGACACACUCCAAGCGGCUUCGUGGUCCCCGACCGUGGAACGAAAAUGACGACAAGGGCAUAUUCGACAGUGUAUUCACAGCGUUUUUGUACGCAUCUUGGGUAAGAGCAUAGCUGCCAGUUCCAAACUCAUAAGCCCAAUUGCCAUACCAGGAAUGUCCUUUGGUGAUUGCAUGAAGCAAACGGUAUUCCAGCCCAAAUUUCUUGGACAAGUCCAUCACGCUAACCUUCCUGCUCAAGAACACAACACAGUUAACUCAAAACAAAGGGGUGGUGCCCAUCCAGAUGCCAAAUGUAAGAAAACAAAUUAUUCGAACCUCACAGAAAUUGAUGUACACAGCCUAUCCCAGAAAUCCAUAAUAUCAAAUCCAGAUAGAAGCUUCGAGCCACCUUCUCUUCCACUAAGUGUAAGCAGGUGACCAUAACCAUUGGAAUGGACCACACCAUGAAGAAGAUGCGUGUUAUCUUCAAUCUGAAGAUACACCCAGUCCUCAAGGUCAUCCACAGUGAUGGCAAAGUUACACGAUUUACACCUACAGCCAUGCAGAAGAUUAGUUACUCUGCAUUCAAAUAUCCCAAAGAAAAUGUUUCAAUGAAAACCAUAAAAAUAUGCAUACCUUGUUUCAGAUAAUUGGAGCAGGUUCCCACAUCUUGAACAAGGUCUUUGAUAUGGUUCGACCGCAUUACUCGCAGCCCUUAUUAUGAAAUGGUAUCGCUUUCGACACACCGGAUGCCCACUCCACCCUUUGUUUUUUCAACAUAAAGUCAGCAUUAGAGCACAACCAUACAUUUCCCAUAUGCCCCAUAUAAAAAUCUAUAUCACUAAUAUUUGUCUGUUUUCCCACACUAAAUAUUGUUAUCAAUUAUUAAAUUAUUAAUACUACAUUAUUAUAAAUAUAUAAAUAAUAAUAAUAAUACAUACAUAAAAAAAAACAUGGGCAAAAUAUAUUUACUGUAUUUGGCCUACGAGGAAGUAGGAAAAAGAAAAUACUAUAAAGUUUUGGUUUAAUUUUCAGCCAAAUUCUGGAAGGGAGAAAUAUUAGGUGGAUUAAUUAGUAAAAAUUAAAAUUAUCUGCCUGUUUAAUUUUAUUUUAAGCUAAUGAGAAAUACAUGGGUUCAGAAUCAGUGAGUCACAGACUCGGCGAGUGGGGGCUCACCAACGACUCGGCACUGGUCACAAUAAACAGAAGUGCGAGAACGGGUAACAUCCUCCUCGACAAUGUCAAGAGUAACGACCGCCGGCGAGAGAUCGGGUCCGUCGACG
Molecule: long non-coding RNA, 5520 nt
Filed under: Phaseolus vulgaris (common bean)
Lineage: Eukaryota; Viridiplantae; Streptophyta; Magnoliopsida; Fabales; Fabaceae
Description: long non-coding RNA (PVUL_LNC000003)
Source: RNAcentral